AGCAGCCGCGGUAAUUCCAGCUCCAAUAGCGUAUAUUAAAGUUGUUGCAGUUAAAAGCUCGUAGUUGAAUUUCGAGAUCAAUUUAUUGGUCGUGCUAUUGUACGUACUGGUAUUAUUGAUUCCUACCUUCUGACGAACCAUGAUGUCAUUAAUUUGGUGUCAUGGGGAAUCAGGACUGUUACUUUGAAAAAUUGAGUGUUUAAAGCAGGCUCAUGCUUGAAUACAUUAGCAUGGAAUAACGAAAUAGGACGUUUGAUUCUAUU
This 263-nucleotide unclassified non-coding RNA is filed under the name uncultured Glomus. RNAcentral's name for it is "sequence contains 18S rRNA gene". It matches the Rfam family "Eukaryotic small subunit ribosomal RNA", at positions 569 to 841 of the family's 1831-position model. The record is from RNAcentral. Lineage: Eukaryota; Fungi; Glomeromycota; Glomeromycetes; Glomerales; Glomeraceae.